Molecule: ribosomal RNA, 465 nt
Filed under: Sus scrofa (pig)
Lineage: Eukaryota; Metazoa; Chordata; Mammalia; Artiodactyla; Suidae
Description: partial 16S ribosomal RNA
Rfam family: Bacterial large subunit ribosomal RNA
Source: RNAcentral
AGCAUUACUAGUAUUAGAGGCAAUGCCUGCCCAGUGACACCAGUUUAACGGCCGCGGUAUUCUGACCGUGCAAAGGUAGCAUAAUCACUUGUUCUCCAAAUAAGGACUUGUAUGAAUGGCCACACGAGGGUUUUACUGUCUCUUACUUCCAAUCAGUGAAAUUGACCUUCCCGUGAAGAGGCGGGAAUAAAAAAAUAAGACGAGAAGACCCUAUGGAGCUUUAAUUAACUAUUCCAAAAGUUAAACAAUUCAACCACAAAGGGAUAAAACAUAACUUAACAUGGACUAGCAAUUUCGGUUGGGGUGACCUCGGAGUACAAAAAACCCUCCGAGUGAUUUUAAUCUAGACAAACCAGUCAAAAUAACCAUAACAUCACUUAUUGAUCCAAAAUUUUGAUCAACGGAACAAGUUACCCUAGGGAUAACAGCGCAAUCCUAUUCUAGAGUUCCUAUCGACAAUAGGGU